Long non-coding RNA from Felis catus (domestic cat), 641 nucleotides. RefSeq lists it as uncharacterized. NCBI's taxonomy places the organism in Eukaryota, Metazoa, Chordata, Mammalia, Carnivora, Felidae. The transcript is spliced from 4 exons. The record is from RefSeq and is a predicted model, not a curated record.
GAGCCGAAGUCAGUUGCUUAACCGAUUGAGCCACUCAUGUGCCCUGGUUUAUAUCUUUAAAAGAUUGUUCUGGCUGCUGUGGGACAAUGUAGAAUACCUGAGUGCACGUGGGAGGCCAGUGAGGAGGCAAAGCUGGUUGUCCAGGGGGAAGCAAUGGUUGCUUAAACACACAGGGGUGGUGGAGACGGGGAGCAGAAUGUGGACUUAGGAGGUAGCAUCAGUAGGAUGGGGGGAUCAGGGCAAAGGGAGUUGUCCAUGGAGACUUCCACAUUUCUGGCUUGGCCACUGGCAGGAUGGUGGCCCCACUUAGGGACACCAAGGAUGCUAACAGAAGUUCUCUGGAGGAUGAAUCCUGGAACCCGAAACCUCAGCUUGAUUUCUCUCUUGCUGCUGAGUUUCGAUCAGGCCAUAGCCAAGGCAUAGAAUAAGACAGAUGGAGUCUCAGCUCUCAUGAAGAUUGCACACCAGUUGGGGAGACAGGCAACAAUCAAGGAUACACAUAUGCAAACAAGGCCUUUGGACUCAUGCUGGAAUUAAGCCAUUGGCUCUCCUGGAUCUCCAGCCUCCUGACUCAUCCUGCAAACCUUGGGACUUGCCUGCCUCCAUAACCACUUGAGUCAGUUCCUCAUAAUAAAUCUGUG